CCAACCAAACGCUGGGACCGGUAGCGGCAGCGAUGGUCACGCCACCGUCGGAUGCCUGCUCACGGUCGGCAUGCAGGUGCUCGCCACCGCCGUCCCCUCCGCCAAGCUUAACCUCUCCACCGUCACCGCCAUCAACAACCACCUCUGCAACACCGUGCAACAGGUUAGAGCCGUCAUCGCCGGUGCCGGUGGCACGGCCAUGGCCGAGCCGGCUGCCGUGGCGCCGGAUCAAUAACACGAGGAAGUGACUGGAGUUACCUGAACCCUAAGUACUGAACCAUUAAACCUCGUGAACAUGUCUCUUCAGUGACGAUGACCCCAGUGGUCGUGUUGGCGAAGUAGGAAGGCGGGGUUCAAGGUAAACUCCAAGGAUGGUAGUGGAGUCUGUAGAGUGUCUAGUUCAAGUGGCAGCGUCGUACUGUAACAUGUCAGUGGAAGAAGAGAGGCCAAGGAGACUAGUUAGGUUGAAGGAGGGAAGUCAAGAGCGCACCAGAUGUGACCCUUGCUCGCUGGCGAAGCCCAUCUCACGAGGGGAGGAGGGCGUUGGUUCGGGAAUUGACUUCUUGCUCUGUGGUGGUCAGCUUCCUGUUGGUUUGUGUUUGUGUUUGUGUUUCUGUUGAGUUGCCUCGGAUGGGGGU
This 638-nucleotide long non-coding RNA is filed under the name Musa acuminata (dwarf banana). RNAcentral describes it as "long non-coding RNA (MACU_LNC002569)". The record is from RNAcentral. Lineage: Eukaryota; Viridiplantae; Streptophyta; Magnoliopsida; Zingiberales; Musaceae.